CUUCUCUACAUGCUCUACAAUACACCUAGACAGUCUUACUUACCAAUUUUCAUACUAUAGUCUGUACCUUACAUUAUCCCCACUUCCUGAAAUCCUAUCUUCUGUAUAAUUGAAACUCUGUUACCCUAAAGGGGAAGUACAUUUCCUGAAACACCACUGAGUUCCUGUCAUCACAUACUUCCUGUAGACAAAGGAUAAAGGGAGUGGGUGUUGAGGCUCCUCUGUCUUUGGGCAUGAUACAGCAAUCAGCAGUGACAGUGAACUGUGGGGUCCUUCAAGAAUCAGGUCAAGAGCAGAACCAGGAGAACAUUAUACACAGUAACUGAAACAUCAUGGGACUUUGCUACUAAUAGGAAUGCAACGAUCCAGGUAAACCCCAAGGAACUUAGGAGAAAGAAAGCUAUCCACUUCCAAAGAACAAACCGCGAGUAGAAAUAGAGAAGAAAAACCUAUGAUUUAUCAUGUGGCUUGAUAGGUACAUGAUUUGAGGUUGUCCUGCUUGAUCACAUGGGUCAAUGGUGAUAUGAUUGGGGAUAAAGACUUUAAAUGAUCACCCUACUGCAAAUAUCAACAAUAUGGAAAUAGGUCUUGAUCAAUGACACGUGUAAAACCAGGAGGGCAGAGGGAGGGGAGGGAAAGAACAUGAAUUUUGUAAUCAUGGGAA
This 664-nucleotide long non-coding RNA is filed under the name Monodelphis domestica (gray short-tailed opossum). RNAcentral describes it as "lncRNA (ENSMODG00000049479.1)". Lineage: Eukaryota; Metazoa; Chordata; Mammalia; Didelphimorphia; Didelphidae. The record is from RNAcentral.